CCUACGGGAGGCAGCAGUGGGGAAUUUUGGACAAUGGGCGAAAGCCUGAUCCAGCAAUGCCGCGUGAGUGAAGAAGGCCUUCGGGUUGUAAAGCUCUUUUGUCAGGGAAGACACGGUGAGAGCUAAUAUCUCUUGCUAAUGACGGUACCUGAAGAAUAAGCACCGGCUAACUACGUGCCAGCAGCCGCGGUAAUACGUAGGGUGCAAGCGUUAAUCGGAAUUACUGGGCGUAAAGCGUGCGCAGGCGGUUUUGUAAGUCUGAUGUGAAAUCCCCGGGCUCAACCUGGGAAUUGCAUUGGAGACUGCAAGGCUAGAAUCUGGCAGAGGGGGGUAGAAUUCCACGUGUAGCAGUGAAAUGCGUAGAUAUGUGGAGGAACACCGAUGGCGAAGGCAGCCCCCUGGGUCAAGAUUGACGCUCAUGCACGAAAGCGUGGGGAGCAAACAGGAUUAGAUACCCUGGUAGUCCACGCCCUAAACGAUGUCUACUAGUUGUCGGGUCUUAAUUGACUUGGUAACGCAGCUAACGCGUGAAGUAGACCGCCUGGGGAGUACGGUCGCAAGAUUAAAACGUCAAAGGAAUUGACGG
Molecule: ribosomal RNA, 586 nt
Filed under: uncultured bacterium
Lineage: Bacteria
Description: bacterial SSU rRNA
Rfam family: Bacterial small subunit ribosomal RNA
Source: RNAcentral